UUCCGGUUGAUCCUGCCGGACCUCACUGCUAUCGGGGUGGGACUAAAACAUGCAAGUCGAGCGCCUCCAAGCUAUGGUGAAUGCGCGGCAUACGGCUCAGUAACACGUGGCCAACCUACCCUUGGGACGGAGACAACCCCGGGAAACUGGGGCUAAUCCCCGAUAGGUAAGGAAUCCUGGAAUGGAUCUUUGCUGAAAGGGCGUCUAGACCAUGCUUCUUGACGUCGCCCAAGGAUGGAGCCGCGACCGAUCAGGCUGUUGGCGAGGCAACGGCUCACCAAACCUAUAACCGGUACGGGCCGUGAGAGCGGGAGCCCGGAGAUGGGCACUGAGACAAGGGCCCAGGCCCUACGGGGCGCAGCAGUUGCGAAAACUCCGCAAUAUGCGAAAGCGUGACGGGGCUACCCCGAGUGCCGCCCGCUGAGGGCGGCUUUUCCACGGUGUAAGGAGCCGUGGGAAUAAGGAGAGGGCAAGACUGGUGUCAGCCGCCGCGGUAAUACCAGCUCUCCGAGUGGUGAGGACGAUUAUUGGGCUUAAAGCGUUCGUAGCCGGCUUAACAAGUCUUCCGUUAAAUCCAACGAUCUAAUCGUUGGGCCGCGGGAGAUACUGUUGGGCUAGGAGGCGGGAGAAGCCGACGGUAUUCCCGGGGUAGGGGUGAAAUCCUGUAAUCCCGGGAGGACCACCAGUGGCGAAGGCGGUCGGCUAGAACGCGCUCGACGGUGAGGGACGAAAGCUGGGGGAGCGAACCGGAUUAGAAACCCGGAUAGUCCCAGCUGUAAACGAUGCGGGCUAGUGUUGGGGUGGCCACGAGCCACCUCAGUGCCGCAUGGAAGCAAUUAAGCCCGCCGCCUGGGGAGUACGGCCGCAAGGCUGAACUUAAAGGAAUUGGCGGGGAGCACCACAGGCGUGAAGCUUGCGGUUUAAUUGGAUUCAACGCCGGA
Molecule: ribosomal RNA, 941 nt
Filed under: uncultured archaeon
Lineage: Archaea
Description: bacterial SSU rRNA
Rfam family: Archaeal small subunit ribosomal RNA
Source: RNAcentral